Molecule: ribosomal RNA, 221 nt
Filed under: uncultured bacterium
Lineage: Bacteria
Description: partial 16S ribosomal RNA
Rfam family: Bacterial small subunit ribosomal RNA
Source: RNAcentral
UACGUAGGGUGCAAGCGUUAAUCGGAAUUACUGGGCGUAAAGCGUGCGCAGGCGGUUAUGUAAGACAGAUGUGAAAUGCCCGGGCUUAACCUGGGAACUGCAUUUGUGACUGCAUGGCUAGAGUGUGUCAGAGGGGGUAGAAUUCCACGUGUAGCAGUGAAAUGCGUAGAUAUGGUGGAGGAAUACCGAGUGGCGAAGGCAGCCCCCUGGGAUAACACUGA